Molecule: ribosomal RNA, 850 nt
Filed under: uncultured bacterium
Lineage: Bacteria
Description: bacterial SSU rRNA
Rfam family: Bacterial small subunit ribosomal RNA
Source: RNAcentral
GACGCUGGCGGUGCGCCUUAUGCAUGCAAGUCGAGCGAAGCUUUUUAGUAGUUUACUACAGAAAAUGACUGAGCGGCGAACGGGUGAGUAACGCGUGAGCAAUCUACCUUAGUUACAGGGAUAGCCCGAGGAAACUCGGAUUAAUACCUGAUAUUCUUUACAUUUCGCAUGAAAUCAAAAGGAAAGGUCAGCCGAACUAAGAUGAGCUCGCGUUCUAUCAGCUAGUUGGUGAGGUAAAAGCUCACCAAGGCAACGACGGAUAGCUGGUCUGAGAGGACGAUCAGCCACACUGGGACUGAGACACGGCCCAGACUCCUACGGGAGGCUGCAGCAGGGAAUAUUGCGCAAUGAGCGAAAGCUUGACGCAGCGACACCGCGUGUGGGAUGACGGAUCUAGGUUUGUAAACCACUUUCAGGAGGGAAGAAAAUGACGGUACCUCCACAAGAAGCCCCGGCCAACUACGUGCCAGCAGCCGCGGUAAUACGUAGGGGGCGAGCGUUGUCCGGAUUUAUUGGGCGUAAAGAGCUCGUAGGCGGUUCAACAAGUCGGUCGUAAAAGUUCAGGGCUCAACCCUGAAAUGUCGAUCGAUACUGUUGUGACUAGGAUACGGUAGAGGUGAGUGGAAUUCCGAGUGUAGCGGUGAAAUGCGUAGAUAUUCGGAGGAACACCAAUUGCGAAGGCAGCUCACUGGGCCGCUAUCGACGCUGAGGAGCGAAAGCUAGGGGAGCAAACAGGAUUAGAUACCCUGGUAGUCCUAGCUGUAAACGAUGGAUACUAGACGUAGGAAUUGGAUUGACGGUUUCUGUGUCGUAGCUAACGCGUUAAGUAUCCCGCCUGGGGAGUACGGUC